CGUUAAACCGACCGCCUGGGGAGUACGGCCGCAAGGUUAAAACUCAAAUGAAUUGACGGGGGCCCGCACAAGCGGUGGAGCAUGUAGUUUAAUUCGAUGCAACGCGAAGAACCUUACCUACUCUUGACAUCCAGAGAACUUAGCAGAGAUGCUUUGGUGCCUUCGGGAACUCUGAGACAGGUGCUGCAUGGCUGUCGUCAGCUCGUGUUGUGAAAUGUUGGGUUAAGUCCCGCAACGAGCGCAACCCUUAUCCUUUGUUGCCAGCGAUUCGGUCGGGAACUCAAAGGAGACUGCCGGUGAUAAACCGGAGGAAGGUGGGGAUGACGUCAAGUCAUCAUGGCCCUUACGAGUAGGGCUACACACGUGCUACAAUGGCGUAUACAAAGAGAAGCGACCUCGCGAGAGCAAGCGGAACUCAUAAAGUACGUCGUAGUCCGGAUUGGAGUCUGCAACUCGACUCCAUGAAGUCGGAAUCGCUAGUAAUCGUAGACCAGAAUGCUACGGUGAAUACGUUCCCGGGCCUUGUACACACCGCCCGUCACACCAUGGGAGUGGGUUGCAAAAGAAGUAGGUAGCUUAACCUUCGGGAGGGCGCUUACCACUUUGUGAUUCAUGACUGGGGUG
RNAcentral lists this ribosomal RNA (624 nucleotides) under uncultured bacterium. RNAcentral's name for it is "bacterial SSU rRNA". It matches the Rfam family "Bacterial small subunit ribosomal RNA", at positions 858 to 1482 of the family's 1533-position model. The record is from RNAcentral.